GGAUGUAAGAGGAUCUGGCUGUGACAUCUGUCACCCCAUUGAUUACGAGCGUUAACUCAGCUAGUCUGGCUGGCUAGGCGGGUGUCCCCUUCCUCCCUCACUACUCCAUGUUUGUCCCUCCUGAAGCUGCGCGCUCGGUCAAAGAGGAUGACCAUCCCCAAUAGAGGAGGACCGUUCUUCGUCAAGGGUAUAUGAGUAGCUGAGCUUCCCUAUUAGAACCUCCAAACAAGCUCUGUUUCACUAUAAUGAAAACAGAAAACAAUUUUUAAAAACCCUAAGGAAAUCUUAAUAAAUUAUGGCCUAUUAAUUCAUUA
This 314-nucleotide small nuclear RNA is filed under the name Castor canadensis (American beaver). Its description in RNAcentral is "7SK RNA (ENSCCNG00000031083.1)". It matches the Rfam family "7SK RNA". From Rfam's summary of the family: 7SK was discovered as an abundant small nuclear RNA in the mid-70s but a possible function has only recently been suggested. Two independent studies have found that 7SK RNA binds the CDK9/cyclin T complex (known as elongation factor P-TEFb). P-TEFb activates transcription by phosphorylating the C-terminal domain of RNA polymerase II. Lineage: Eukaryota; Metazoa; Chordata; Mammalia; Rodentia; Castoridae. The record is from Rfam by way of RNAcentral.